Transfer RNA from Plicaturopsis crispa FD-325 SS-3, 134 nucleotides. It matches the Rfam family "tRNA". From Rfam's summary of the family: Transfer RNA (tRNA) molecules are approximately 80 nucleotides in length. Their secondary structure includes four short double-helical elements and three loops (D, anti-codon, and T loops). Further hydrogen bonds mediate the characteristic L-shaped molecular structure. tRNAs have two regions of fundamental functional importance: the anti-codon, which is responsible for specific mRNA codon recognition, and the 3' end, to which the tRNAs corresponding amino acid is attached (by aminoacyl-tRNA synthetases). tRNAs cope with the degeneracy of the genetic code in two manners: having more than one tRNA (with a specific anti-codon) for a particular amino acid; and 'wobble' base-pairing, i.e. permitting non-standard base-pairing at the 3rd anti-codon position. The record is from Rfam. NCBI's taxonomy places the organism in Eukaryota, Fungi, Basidiomycota, Agaricomycetes, Amylocorticiales, Amylocorticiaceae.
GGUGAGAUGGCCGAGCGGUCUAAGGCGCCAGACUAAGGAUCAACAUCAAUUGUGAUGUUCAAUUAACGGAGCGGGAUUCGAACCCAUGCGUUAUCUGGUCUUUCGAGGCGUGGGUUCGAAUCCCACUCUCAUCA